GCUAUUUCCAUUUGAAGGAUUCGUGGGUGACCAAGAAGAUACCACUGCAUUCCCACCGAUAAGGGCUUUAAAGCUUAAAAAUCUUGAUGAUUUGAAGCAUGUAUGGGAAUCCGACUGCCAACUGCAUAAUCCAUUAUUUCAGUCUCUUGAGGAUCUUGAGAUAGUGUCUUGUGGAAAUUUGAUUUUUUUAGUACCAUCCUCUGCGUCUUUCCGAAAUCUAAAAGCUCUGAAAGUAAGUGAAUGCAACGCAUUGAUAAAUAUUGUUGCAUCUUCUACAGCCAAAAGUAUGGUACAACUU
RNAcentral lists this unclassified non-coding RNA (298 nucleotides) under Hevea brasiliensis (rubber tree). Lineage: Eukaryota; Viridiplantae; Streptophyta; Magnoliopsida; Malpighiales; Euphorbiaceae. The record is from RNAcentral.